This 262-nucleotide ribosomal RNA is filed under the name uncultured bacterium. RNAcentral's name for it is "partial 16S ribosomal RNA". It matches the Rfam family "Bacterial small subunit ribosomal RNA", at positions 793 to 1055 of the family's 1533-position model. The record is from RNAcentral.
GUCCACGCAGUAAACUAUGAGUGCUAGUUGUCGGGGCUUUGGGCUUCGGUGGCGAAGUUAACACGAUAAGCACUCCGCCUGGGGACUACGGUCGCAAGACUAAAACUCAAAGGAAUUGACGGGGACCCGCACAAGCAGUGGAGCAUGUGGUUUAAUUCGAUGCUACGCGAAAACCUUACCAACCCUUGACAUCUGGAUGACCGGCACAGAGAUGUGCUUUCGGAGCAAUCUGCAUCCAAGACAGGUGUUGCAUGGCUGUCGU